This 253-nucleotide ribosomal RNA is filed under the name uncultured bacterium. RNAcentral describes it as "partial 16S ribosomal RNA". It matches the Rfam family "Bacterial small subunit ribosomal RNA", at positions 524 to 776 of the family's 1533-position model. The record is from RNAcentral.
UACGGAGGAGGCAAGCGUUAUCCGGAAUUACUGGGCGUAAAGCGUGCGCAGGCGGUUUUGUAAGUCAGAUGUGAAAUCCCCGGGCUUAACCUGGGAACUGCGUUUGAAACUACAAGGCUAGAGUGUAGCAGAGGGGGGUGGAAUUCCACGUGUAGCAGUGAAAUGCGUAGAGAUGUGGAGGAACACCGAUGGCGAAGGCAGCCCCCUGGGUUAACACUGACGCUCAGGCACGAAAGCGUGGGGAGCAAACAGG